RNAcentral lists this ribosomal RNA (301 nucleotides) under uncultured bacterium. Its description in RNAcentral is "partial 16S ribosomal RNA". It matches the Rfam family "Bacterial small subunit ribosomal RNA", at positions 509 to 807 of the family's 1533-position model. The record is from RNAcentral.
CAGCCGCCGCGGUAAUACGAAGGGGGCUAGCGUCGUUCGGAAUUACUGGGCGUAAAGCGCACGUAGGCGGAUAUUUAAGUCAGGGGUGAAAUCCCGGAGCUCAACUCCGGAAUUGCCUUUAAGACUGCCGAGCUAGUAGGUGAGAGAGGUAAGUGGAAUUCCGAGUGUAGAGGUGAAAUUCGUAGAUAUUCGGAAGAACACCAGUGGCGAAGGCGGCUUACUGGCUCAUUCUAGACGCUGAGGUGCGAAAGCGUGGGGAGCAAACAGGAUUAGAUAUCCCCGUAGUCCCUGUCUCUUAUAC